GUGGGCUGCCAUUUGGAGGAAGAACUGGAAACCAGACACUCCUAUUUGGAUCCAUUUAGGAUGCCGAGGAGGAAAAUGAGCUGCAGAAGGAUCAAAUGACCUGCCUGAGGUGCCCUAUCUGUUGGCACAGGCCAGAGCACAUGGUGGAUGCAGGGGCACCCCCUUCCCUUCUCCUCCCCUCCGGCUCUUUGCUGACAGGAUUCUCUCUUGCCUUCUCUGAUGGUACCUGUGCUACGUGCCACAUCCUUUCCCUCAAUGAAUUUCAGGCAGUGGAAGGGGCCGCAGAAGUUCCUUGACUCAUGAGGCGAGGCAUUCAGCGGCCUCGUGACACCUCCCAGGAUCUGCAGUCAUUGGGCUGCACUUGCCAAUAGCAACACCUGGCAAAAAUAGCUAAGAAGCAGAGCGGCCUGGGCUCAGGAGCUGAGCAACCCCUGACUGGCCAGAUGGAGACUGUGUUGAGCUCUGCCCAAGCCCUGUGAUCCUGGAAAACAGUGAAGUUAAGGAGCCAUCUGCAUUCUAGGGAAUGGCCCACUGCAAAAAAUAGCCUUCCUUAUAGGACGUAGAGGACUCAUGAUGUCCCCUCAUUUAUGAUGAGCCAACACACAGCCCUUCCAAAUUCCGAUUCUUUGCUUCAUAACUGAUGAGCUGUUUUGUUCCCACUGGUCAAUCGGAACAACAUUCUUGCUAACCAGAUUUUGGUUCAGCUCUUCUCCCUCCCCAUGUACCUGCCCUGUGUCCUGUCCUCAUCCUGAGCCAGCACACACCCCUCCUUAGUAGCUCCUCCUGCAGCAGGCUGACCUCGGACUCUCCCUGAUCCAUUGUCCAAAUAUAUCACCCUUUCACCCUACAUCCUCACACCCCAUUCUUUCUAGUUUUGUUCAUUCCUCCCUGUGAAAGAUGAACCCUCUUUGCCUAACCCCGGACCUGCUUGCAGACUGCUAUGAUGGCCAGAGUGUCCCCCCUACUGCAAGAGUCCCUUCUGUCCCUUGCAACAUCUUUUAAAUAAAAUCUCUCUUUACCAAG
RNAcentral lists this long non-coding RNA (1023 nucleotides) under Homo sapiens (human). RNAcentral's name for it is "HSALNT0380219". The record is from RNAcentral. Lineage: Eukaryota; Metazoa; Chordata; Mammalia; Primates; Hominidae.